AAUCAUUGAUUCAAAUGAUAUUUUCUAAUCAUUGGCACAGUAAGCUAUCAACUAAUCCAGUGAGAUAACCCAAUUACAAUGUAUAUGAAAAGCCAAAAAAAUGUGCCUACUAAGUACUCAAAAGAAGUUGAGGUUUGAUGGAAAAUAAGCUUUAAGGGUGGGAUGUCUGACAGAAAGCAAGCAAAAGAAGUUGGUCUUUCUCAUCCCUUUCACUGAUUCUGAGUCUCAUAGAAGGAAGGGACUAAGAGCUUUUGAGGGCAUUUGCUCUCCUUUUGAUAGAACUAGAUACCUUUAGUUCCAGAACCAUAUAUUUUAAUUAAAGGUUAUUCUCUCCUUCAUGGAUAAAUCUAGGUGACCUCAUAGAUAUCUUGUAUUACCCUGCUGUGUCACCUUUGCGCUGGAGCAGCAACUUGUUGCACCCUAGUGAAUGAAUUCAUCUUCUCUCAUAAAAAUUCUGGAAUAUUGUAACAAGGAUAAUAUCUUUCAAAACCCAAUAUUUAUAUGUUAUGCCUCAUAUCAUAGUUGCAUGUGCAUUUAUAUGCAUCACUAUUUUGAUGCACAAAAUUGCAAGCACCUCACAUAUUAGAGAAGGGAUCAAGGAUGGCUGAGAAUUAGGCGGAUCUUGAGUGACAAAGCAAAGAGGAUGGUGCAUAGAGCUGAAGGACACAAAUCCAUAAAGUAGGGGUAAAAGGCCCAGCAAUUAACAAAAAACCAAACAAACAUGUAACAAUAAUUUUGUUGACAUAAAAAGAAAAUAACUAUCAGUAGAUAUAUACGAAGCGAUUGAUUGCAGAAUAAGCUGUGGACUAACAAUUAAUACAUCCCAAAGUAUCUAUUUGGUCUCAAAUUGAUCCCAGAUCAAGUGGGACCAUGCAACCAACACUUGCAAUAAAUUACGUGUUACAGUAUCAUUCUGGACUACACUAAUUCCUGAUUAGUAGUAUAUAGCCCUGUGCCAAACAUGAGAUUUGUGCCGAUACAUCUCUGAUCAGUAUUGGGAUCUGUCAAACCCUAAAUAGNNNNNNNNNNNNNNNNNNNNNNNNNNNNNNNNNNNNNNNNNNNNNNNNNNNNNNNNNNNNNNNNNNNNNNNNNNNNNNNNNNNNNNNNNNNNNNNNNNNNNNNNNNNNNNNNNNNNNNNNNNNNNAACAAACUGUUCUAUCUUACCAGACAUUCUUAUAAAUACAUACGACAACGAUUGAAUGAUUAUAAAUGAAAUAUCCUAUAAUAAUCUAAAUAUCCUCUUGUAUUUUCUCCUUAUUUUCUCUCUGCAUUAUCUUCCUAAUUUUUUCUUCCCUCUCUCUCUCUCUCCCCCCCUUACAACAUGUUGCAAUGAACCAUACACCAUCGAGGAAGGCUAAUUAGAUGAGCACUGUCAACUGCUCAAUAUGGCCCAUAAGAGAGUCUGGUAGUACUGGACUUUCCUCAAUCCAAUUCUGAACCUUGAGGACAAUAUUUGUGUGAAGAAAGGACAGAUUUCAAAACCUAAAAAGAAGUGAAAGACGGAACAAAACGCUCAGCGGUUAGAAACAGUUAGGAGGAAUAGAAGUAGCCCUUUUGGUAGGAUUUUUUCUUUUUAAUGAUGUAAUAGCCGUUAUACUAGUGCAUUACAAUGACAAACUAAGAUAAAAGUUGUUACUGCACCCAAUGAACUGCACUGCUGUACCACAUAUUCCUAUAAAUACCUAAAGCAAUGAUUGAAUCAUUAUGAAUGAAAUCUUCUUACCCCAACUGCUUGGAAUUGACGCUAUAAGUUGAAACGUGGCAAUAACUGAAAAAUACUACCCACCAAAUUCCACCCAAAAUAGCCCCUAUUAAAUCUUAGUUGAACUUGCAAAGAAUAAAUUCAUAUAUUAUUCUGUGACUAAAAUAGAUAUGAAUAGGAAAAGAAAGUCAAUGGUAUUUGGUUUAGUUGUUGUAAAGAAAAAAUAUAUGAAAAUUUAUAAAUUGUAACCAGUUAGUUAUUUGACCAGCUAAUCAUCUAUCAAAGAUAUAAUAUUUGGAUGCAAUACCAGCACAGUAUCCAAACUACCUAUACACAACAGUGCCACAUUCAGAUCCUACCAUUAUAGAACUCUGAACAAAAUGAAAGAAAACGAGAAAAAGAUGACAAAAACCCUAAAAUUGAUUCCUAGUAUAGAAAAUAAUCAACAGAAGGGGAAAACAUAACUGCAAUUAGCAUAAAAUUCAUAGAUUCCUUCCUCUCGAAUGCUCUCAGGUCACUCUCCUUCCAAGCACUCACAUAACGAGAUUUUUUUUUUGGACACGCAGGAUAGUAUUAUUGAUGAUAUAAAAGCUAUACAUCACAGUCCCUCAAAAAAAAGUUGCCCGAUCAAAUUCUGCCAGAAGAGAAACCCCAUCAAAGAUUUAAGUCAAAACCACACAUAAGGCAUUCAAAUAUAUACUAGCAUACUCAGUGCACGCAUGUGCAAAUUUUGAAACAGUUAUUCGUAAAUGUGCAACAUCUAUACCAGAUACGAACAGAAAAAAGAAAGCCAAGAAACCUUAAUUAAAAUGAUAUAUAUUACGGGGAAAAAAAAAAAGAUAUGCAAAAUGCCUAAACGAUAACCUUUCACUUAAUUGACCAGCCAAGCAUAAAUCAAUGACCUAAAAUUCGGAUACAAUACCAGCAAAGCAUCUGCGACGUCGAUUCAAGACAAUGUCACAUGUCUUGCCAGAUUAAAAUGCUGAAUUAAAUGAAAAAAGCAAAGCAAGCAACAAAAGAAAUAUGAAAACCCUAAAAAACCGAUUCCUGCUGCAGAAAAACGAUCAAGAAAAAAGGAAACGAAAACAAAAGAACAUCAAUGCAUCAUUCAAAGACGUAAUCAGAACAACUUGAAAUCGAAAAUCGACGACACUCAAGCCCUAAUAGCAGAGUCGCGAUAAAGAAGAGAUUACCUACGGAGAAAAAGUGCUCCGAUUCGGAGCUGUAGGUAGAUGGAGAGUGCCUUUGUUCGACGAGGAAUCGGCGAGGCCUUGAAUCGAGCAGGGAUUUAUAGCGGUGAAGUAAGGGGGCGAAGACAGAGACGAAAUGCGAGUCCGCUUACAAAGGAGCGGAUUUUCUGAACAGAGAGUAGAUUCUGUUGAACAUAAUGAGCAGGCUUUAUUUAUAUAUGCUCUCCGUGGUAACAGUUCCUGUGUGUUGCAUUUAGUUUAUGCUAAAACGGGGUGCC
This 3170-nucleotide long non-coding RNA is filed under the name Carica papaya (papaya). Its description in RNAcentral is "long non-coding RNA (CPAP_LNC012057)". The record is from RNAcentral. Lineage: Eukaryota; Viridiplantae; Streptophyta; Magnoliopsida; Brassicales; Caricaceae.